CAGUAGCCGCGGGAAUACGGAGGGAGCUAGCGUUGUUCGGAAUUACUGGGCGUAAAGCGCACGUAGGCGGCUUUGUAAGUUAGAGGUGAAAGCCUGGAGCUCAACUCCAGAAUUGCCUUUAAGACUGCAUCGCUUGAAUCCGAGAGAGGUGAGUGGAAUUCCGAGUGUAGAGGUGAAAUUCGUAGAUAUUCGGAAGAACACCAGUGGCGAAGGCGGCUCACUGGCUCGGUAUUGACGCUGAGGUGCGAAAGCGUGGGGAGCAAACAGGAUUAGAUACCCCGGUAGUCCCUGUCUCUUAUAC
This 301-nucleotide ribosomal RNA is filed under the name uncultured bacterium. RNAcentral describes it as "partial 16S ribosomal RNA". It matches the Rfam family "Bacterial small subunit ribosomal RNA", at positions 509 to 807 of the family's 1533-position model. The record is from RNAcentral.